UACGAAGGGGGCUAGCGUUGCUUGGAAUCACUGGGCGUAAAGGGCGCGUAGGCGGAUCUUUAAGUCGGGGGUGAAAGCCCAGGGCUCAACCCUGGAAUUGCCUUCGAUACUGGAGAUCUUGAGACCGGAAGAGGUAAGUGGAACUGCGAGUGUAGAGGUGAAAUUCGUAGAUAUUCGCAAGAACACCAGUGGCGAAGGCGGCUUACUGGUCCGGUUCUGACGCUGAGGCGCGAAAGCGUGGGGAGCAAACAGG
RNAcentral lists this ribosomal RNA (253 nucleotides) under uncultured bacterium. Its description in RNAcentral is "partial 16S ribosomal RNA". It matches the Rfam family "Bacterial small subunit ribosomal RNA", at positions 524 to 776 of the family's 1533-position model. The record is from RNAcentral.